Coturnix japonica (Japanese quail) is the source of this 2960-nucleotide non-coding RNA. NCBI's taxonomy places the organism in Eukaryota, Metazoa, Chordata, Aves, Galliformes, Phasianidae. The record is from RefSeq and is a predicted model, not a curated record.
GGUUGUUCUGCUCUGUCUGUGGGGGUGACAGUGGGUGUAACCUCUGUGUAUGAACCAAAAUUAUCUGUACUGGUUUAUACCGAGCCCAGAGCCAAGCUCUGGAAGUAGCCACUCCAUAGUGUACACUUUAAACAUCUUUUCAGCUGAUACUUGCACAAGAUACUGAGAAAUGCAUAGUGAGGACCUCAGGUGCCUGUGAGCAGCAUGGCUGGCAUGGCACCACUCAUUUCCCUCUUUGCGCAGAAAUCUUUCUCUCGAACUGAAAUUUCACAAUGAAUUUACAUUUAUCAAGAUAAAGUUUGCAUGCAAAUUUUGUUCGAUAUGUUAUUGAGAACAUGACCGGUUGAGCAUAUUUCUGUGUAUUUCCUUUCUCUCUUUUGAGUGGACUAUGGGGGCAACAUCCUUGAAGGACACGGAAGUAACUACAUGCCAACAGAGUCUAGAUGACAAGGUUUCAGAAACAGCUGGGGUGCACAAGGGAUGUUCUUUGCCUGUGGAAAGUCCAUGCUCUCCCUCCAAGCUGAUUGGGAAGAGUGUUUGAUAGGAGGACACAGGGGAUGCAGAGGGACCCAAAUGCUCAUGCAUGUUGCCCACACAAUUCUGCAUUGCUUGGGUACCCACACACUUUCUCUGUGAGGAGACAGCUGAGUGAUUAUCCCUCAGACCAUCAGGAAGAACACAGUGGCAAUGGAAAGGAAAUCUGCAGCUUCUUUCUGGGACCACUGCUUCUUCAAGGACUGAGUGGAGUGUUUGAAGAUGCUCUGAGCUGCAGUCUCAGUCUCUCUCUACCUGCUGGCAUGGAAGAAAACAGAGUCUCUCACCUUCCUCUUGCUGCAUAGCAGCAUGGGAGAGUCUUGCUCACUGAAUGAAAGAAGAAGCGGGAAGAAGGAAAUGAAUAGCUGAGUCACUAUUGCAGAAAGAAGCUUCAGGGAGAACGGAAGGGGGCUGGCCGUGUAUCUUGGAGACAAAGCACAAAUGUGGUGGUGGAUAGUUGCAGAGACAGAAGAUCCUGUCCAUCUCACAGAGCAUGUGGAGUAACCAGGGAGCCCCUGCCCAGGGAUGCUGGCAACUUUCAGUGGGUUCCAGCUUCCAUGGGAGCUAUAUGCUAUAAGUCAGCUAUACAAACAAGGAAGAAAAAAUGGCUGAGACAGAGAAAGUGAUUUGUUAAUACUAAUAAUUGGAAAACUGCUUAAUAGCUGAAGAUGCUAUGGGUAUGGAUAAAUAAAAAUCUGGUGAGGAGGGUACCAGUUACAAUACUAGUUAGUCCUGUCAGGAUGUUGAUAAUCCUUCGCUGUGAUCUAUGGAAGAGAAAACUAAUCUGUACUGAUGUUUUGAGCACUAGUCCUAUAUGUGUCCUGCUUUUUUACUUCCAUACACAAUUUAUCAAUACAAGAAACUGCACAUGUAGUGGUGGCAAGUACAGAUUAAUUCAAAUUAUAGAUUAGUUCUUGAGUCUAACUUUUAGGCUGUUCUCCAAGGGUCCCUGUAAUGGAGAAAAAAAAUUAUGCAUGUCCUUUUUUUUGAAGGAAAAGUCUUCUAAUUCUUCCUACAGCAAAAUAAAGAAAGCAGUACUGUUGGAGUUGAAACGGUGUGCAAGCAUUAAGUAUUAAUAAACAAGUAAUUAUCAUAACAAUAACCCUAAUGAAAAGCACUAGGUUGUAUUUCCAGAAGGUUAUGCUGUGCAAAGAUGGAAAGAGAUUUCAUGCAGUUCAUUGCCCUGCCUGUGCAGGACAGUUUCUAGGCUGAAGAAUUCAACAGUUACUGAACUGAACACUAACUUAUCUUGGCCUCUGCAGCUCUGCCUUUACCAGUAAAAGCAACUGUGGAAUGAAUAGAGCUAGGCAAAACACCAGUGUGCUUGCAAGCAAGAAUACUGGCCUCAAGGAUUUUGAUGUAGAACUGUUUUUCUGUGCAAAGGAAUCUGAAAGAAACCUUCACAUGUUUUUGUCUGAGUCUGCUGGUGAAAAAUAUCCUAGGCCAUCACGUCAGACUUCUAUAUUUUCCCAAAUCUCAGAUUCCCAUUUUUUCCCUGAGUUAACACUCCAUAAACAAAUACAAUUUUAGGUUCUCAUUCAAAUUGCUGGACGAAUUUCCAUUAGUGCCUGUACUAAACUUCAUGCAGAUCUUUUCAUGGUCCUGAUUAUUUUGUAAACUCCAGGACUGCAGGAAAGUGAUACUCCAUUCACCCAAUGAAUAAAGCUUAUUAAGGUCAGCUCUUCCUCUGACCAUUCACUUGGGCUUCUGAGUUCUUUUGGCAUAUGAGCCGUAGCUAACAUCAUAUAUUCAUGACAGACUGGGUAGAUGAGGGGAAAGCAGUGGAUAUUGUCUUCUUUGACUUCAGCGAGGCUUUUGGCACUAUCUCUCACAACUUCCUUGUAGGUAAGCUUAGGAAGUAUGGGAUACAUGAGUGGACAGUGAGGUGGAUUAAAUAAGAACUGGUUGACUGUCAGAGCUCAAAAUGUAGUGAUCAGUGGCACACAGCGUCUAGGUGGAGGCCUGUAGUUAGUGGUGUUACCGAGGGGUUCGUUCUGGGUUUGGUUUGUUUAACAUCUUUAUCAGUGACCUGAGCAAAGGGAUAGGAUACUUCCCCAGAAAGUUUGAUGAUGAUAUGAAGCUGGGAGGAGUGGCUCACACCAGAACGCCUUGCUGUCAUUCAUCAAGACCUGGAUAGUCUGGAGAGUUGGGCAGAAAGGAAACUGAUGAGGUUCCACGAGAGCAAGUUCAAAGUCCUACACCCAGGAAGGAGUAACUGCAUACGUUAGUACAGGUUAGAGGCUGACCUGAUGGAAAGAAGCUCUGCAGAGAAGGCCCUGGCUUUAUUGCUGGACAACAGGUUGACCAUAAGUCACCAAUGUACCCUUGUGGCCAAGAAGGUCAAUCAGGUAUCCUGGGAUGCAUUGAAAAGAUUGUAGAUAGCAGGUCAAGGGAGGUUCUCCUCCCUCUCUACUCUACCCUAGUGA